UUGGAGGGCAAGUCUGGUGCCAGCAGCCGCGGUAAUUCCAGCUCCAAUAGCGUAUAUUAAAGUUGUUGCAGUUAAAAAGCUCGUAGUUGAACUUCGGGAUCAAUGGAUCGGUCAUGCCGUUGGCAUGUACUGGUCACAUUGGUUCCCACCUUCUAAGGAACCAUGAUGUCAUUCAUUUGAUGUUGCGGGGAAUUAGGACUGUUACCUUGAAAAAAUUAGAGUGUUUAAAGCAGGCUAGCGCUUGAAUACAUUAGCAUGGAAUAAUGAAAUAGGACAUCGCAUUCUAUUUUGUUGGUUUCUAGGAUCGAUGUAAUGAUUAAUAGGGAUAGUUGGGGGCAUUAGUAUUCAAUUGUCAGAGGUGAAAUUCUUGGAUUUAUUGAAGACUAACUACUGCGAAAGCAUUUGCCAAGGAUGUUUUCAUUAAUCAAGAACGAAAGUUAGGGGAUCGAAGACGAUCAGAUACCGUCGUAGUCUUAACCAUAAACUAUGCCGACUAGGGAUCGGAUGAUGUUGAUUUUUUAAUGACUCAUUCGGCGCCUUACGGGAAAC
Molecule: ribosomal RNA, 549 nt
Filed under: uncultured Glomeromycotina
Lineage: Eukaryota; Fungi; Glomeromycota
Description: SSU rRNA
Rfam family: Eukaryotic small subunit ribosomal RNA
Source: RNAcentral